Molecule: ribosomal RNA, 466 nt
Filed under: uncultured bacterium
Lineage: Bacteria
Description: partial 16S ribosomal RNA
Rfam family: Bacterial small subunit ribosomal RNA
Source: RNAcentral
CGAACGCUGGCGGCGUGCUUAACACAUGCAAGUCGAACGGAAAGGCCCUGCUUUUGUGGGGUGCUCGAGUGGCGAACGGGUGAGUAACACGUGAGUAACCUGCCCUUGACUUUGGGAUAACUUCAGGAAACUGGGGCUAAUACCGGAUAGGAGCUCCUGCUGCAUGGUGGGGGUUGGAAAGUUUCGGCGGUUGGGGAUGGACUCGCGGCUUAUCAGCUUGUUGGUGGGGUAGUGGCUUACCAAGGCUUUGACGGGUAGCCGGCCUGAGAGGGUGACCGGCCACAUUGGGACUGAGAUACGGCCCAGACUCCUACGGGAGGCAGCAGUGGGGAAUAUUGCACAAUGGGCGGAAGCCUGAUGCAGCAACGCCGCGUGCGGGAUGACGGCCUUCGGGUUGUAAACCGCUUUCGCCUGUGACGAAGCGUGAGUGACGGUAGUGGGUAAAGAAGCACCGGCUAACUACGUG